Oryza sativa Japonica Group (Japanese rice) is the source of this 275-nucleotide microRNA precursor. It matches the Rfam family "MIR821 microRNA precursor family". The record is from Rfam. Lineage: Eukaryota; Viridiplantae; Streptophyta; Magnoliopsida; Poales; Poaceae.
GAUAUCAACUGAAAAAGUCAUCAACAACAAAGUUGAAUAACUUAUCAAGAUCUAAAACUUUUAUUUUGGUCAUUUCUUUAUACGACAAAAUGAUAGUAACAUUGUUCACAAAAUUGAUAUAUAUCUUAUCUGGUUUUAUAAACUAUAACACAUAUAUGUAAAAUUUGUGAAUAAUAUUACUAACAUUUCGUCGGAUGAAGAAAUAACAAAAAUAAAAGUUUUAGAUACUGAUGAGUUAUUCAACUUUGUUGUUGAUGACUUUUUCAAUUGAAAUC